CCUACGGGGGGCAGCAGUGGGGAAUAUUGGACAAUGGGGGGAACCCUGAUCCAGCCAUGCCACGUGUGUGAAGAAGGCCCUCGGGUUGUAAAGCACUUUCAGUGAGGAAGAACGCCUGGUGGUUAAUACCCAUCAGGAAAGACAUCACUCACAGAAGAAGCACCGGCUAACUCCGUGCCAGCAGCCGCGGUAAUACGGAGGGUGCGAGCGUUAAUCGGAAUUACUGGGCGUAAAGCGCGCGUAGGUGGCUUGAUAAGCCGGUUGUGAAAGCCCCGGGCUCAACCUGGGAACGGCAUCCGGAACUGUCAAGCUAGAGUGCAGGAGAGGAAGGUAGAAUUCCCGGUGUAGCGGUGAAAUGCGUAGAGAUCGGGAGGAAUACCAGUGGCGAAGGCGGCCUUCUGGACUGACACUGACACUGAGGUGCGAAAGCGUGGGUAGCAAACAGGAUUAGAUACCCUGGUAGUC
RNAcentral lists this ribosomal RNA (465 nucleotides) under Vreelandella stevensii. RNAcentral's name for it is "partial 16S ribosomal RNA". It matches the Rfam family "Bacterial small subunit ribosomal RNA", at positions 338 to 795 of the family's 1533-position model. The record is from RNAcentral. Lineage: Bacteria; Pseudomonadati; Pseudomonadota; Gammaproteobacteria; Oceanospirillales; Halomonadaceae.